CCUACGGGAGGCAGCAGUGAGGAAUAUUGGUCAAUGGGCGGAAGCCUGAACCAGCCAAGUAGCGUGCAGGAUGACGGCCCUACGGGUUGUAAACUGCUUUUAUACGGGAAUAACGCGCCUUACGUGUAGGGCUUUGCAUGUACCGUAUGAAUAAGGACCGGCUAAUUCCGUGCCAGCAGCCGCGGUAAUACGGAAGGUCCGGGCGUUAUCCGGAUUUAUUGGGUUUAAAGGGAGCGUAGGCCGCAUGUCAAGCGUGCUGUGAAAUGUCCGGGUUCAACCCGGGCCUUGCAGGGGGAACUGGAGUGCGUGAGUCCGCGAGAAGCAGGCGGAAUUCGUGGUGUAGCGGUGAAAUGCUUAGAUAUGACGAAGAACCCCGAUUGCGAAGGCAGCUUGCUGCAGCGGAACUGACGCUGAUGCUCGAAAGCGCGGGUAUCGAACAGGAUUAGAUACCCGUGUAGUC
RNAcentral lists this ribosomal RNA (460 nucleotides) under uncultured bacterium. RNAcentral describes it as "partial 16S ribosomal RNA". It matches the Rfam family "Bacterial small subunit ribosomal RNA", at positions 338 to 795 of the family's 1533-position model. The record is from RNAcentral.